GCCAAGCAGCCGCGGUAAUUCCAGCUCCAAUAGCGUAUAUUAAAGUUGUUGCAGUUAGAACGCUCGUAGUCGGAUUUCGGGGCAGUCCGACCGGUCUGCCGAUGGGUAUGCACUGGCCGGAGUGUCCUUUUUGCCGGAGACCGUGCCUACUCUUAACUGAGCGGGGGCGGGAGACGGCACUUUUACUUUGAAAAAAUCAGAGUGUUUCAAGCAGGCAGCUCGCUCUUGCAUGGAUUAGCAUGGGAUAAUGAAAUAGGACUUUGGUGCUAUUUUGUUGGUUUCGAACACCGAAGUAAUGAUGAGAAGGGACAGUCAGGGGCACUCGUAUUCCGCAGAGAGAGGUGAAAUUCUCAGACCCGCGGAAGACGAACCACUGCGAAAGCAUUUGCCAGGGAUGUUUUCACUGAUCAAGAACGAAAGUUAGGGGAUCGAAGAUGAUCAGAUACCGUCGUAGUCUUAACCAUAAACCAUGCCGACUAGGGAUUGGAGGAUGUUCACUGAUUGACUCCUUCAGCACCUUACGGGAAACUAAAGUCUUUGGGUUCCGGGGGGAGUAUGGUCGCAAGGCUGAAACUUAAAGGAAUUGACGGAAGGGCACCACCAGGUGUGGAGCCUGCGGCUUAAUUUGACUCAACACGGGGAAACUUACCAGGUCCAGACAUUGUGAGGAUUGACAGAUUGAGAGCUCUUUCUUGAUUCGAUGGGUGGUGGUGCAUGGCCGUUCUUAGUUGGUGGAGUGAUUUGUCUGGUUAAUUCCGUUAACGAACGAGACCUUAGCCUGCUAAAUAGUGACGCGAACUCUUUGUUGGCGGUCCACUUCUUAGAGGGACAACUUGUCUUCAACAAGUGGAAGUUUGAGGCAAUAACAGGUCUGUGAUGC
This 880-nucleotide ribosomal RNA is filed under the name uncultured eukaryote. Its description in RNAcentral is "SSU rRNA". It matches the Rfam family "Eukaryotic small subunit ribosomal RNA", at positions 566 to 1470 of the family's 1831-position model. The record is from RNAcentral.